Leopardus geoffroyi (Geoffroy's cat) is the source of this 2056-nucleotide long non-coding RNA. RefSeq lists it as uncharacterized. The transcript has 3 exons. NCBI's taxonomy places the organism in Eukaryota, Metazoa, Chordata, Mammalia, Carnivora, Felidae. The record is from RefSeq and is a predicted model, not a curated record.
CUCAAACCCACGGACCGUGAGAUCAUGACCUGAGCUGAAAUCGGACGUUUAACUGACAGAAGCCACCCAGGCACCCCAGACCGUUAUCUUUCCUUUUCCCUGCUUCCCCAUCACCUUCCCGGAACCCAGAGAUGCCCUGUUAGCCCUCCUCUCCCAGUCCAAAGAGCGGGUCUGCAGUUCCAGAAGGGCCUUGAACAAGAAGCAUCCCAGCCAGGACUUCAAAUCUGCAUAAUUUAUCCACACACAGAGCCACUUCUGCAACCCAAGAUGCCACUCCUGAACGGCUGCCCAGAGAGCUCACGCUGCCAAAUCUUCCAGAAGACUCCUCAUCACAGACCCACAGAGAGCAGGAGGAUGCCCUGUGGCCGUAACCCUCAGCGUUCCUUCAUCCAGUCAGCCUGCUGCGAUCCAGCGCUCAUGACGGCUCGCAGAGGGCACAGGGGGUCCCUGAGGCAGCCUGGCGGCCCCUACUCAAGGGGCUUGUCAACUGGAUGAGACGCACACAGACAAGACACUGGAAAGCUAUGAAAUGACACAGCAUAUGUCAAGGAUGGGGAGGAAGGAGAUGGGCGGGGUGGGGGGGGGGGGGGCGAAGGGAGAACUGCCAAGACCAGGGACUGGUCACAGCAGGGACAGUGGUCCUGGGGCCAGUGAGCAGAGCAGCCCCGUGGCGAUAGCGGUUAUCCGAAGUGACAUUAUGGGACAGAUGGCUAAGAAUGUGCGUCAGAACCGAGAAGGUCGUCAGCACUGAGGGCAUCUACUAUCUGUCCUACUGGUGUCCUAUCUGUCACUCUUCCUGUUACCUAUUGCCGCAUAACAAAUCACCCACGAACUUCAGGACUGAAAGCUGAAUGGGCUCAAGUGGGUGGUUCUCACGCUGGAUCUCUCGCGAGGUGACAGACACACGGUGGUGGCUGGACUGCAUCAUCUGGAAGGUUUCCUCCCACACCUGCGGGGGCGGGGAGGGGCGUCAGCUGGGACUGUUGUCCGGACCCCCUAUGCGCGGCCUCUCUGUGUGGCUCCGAGACUUGGAGAAGAGGUAUGUCCAGAGAAAAGAAGUUCUUCACACGGUAUCACCGGCCCCGCCCCACGGGCCUCCCUCUCCGGGCGGAAGGAACCCAGACCCCGGCUCUCAGCGGACGGAGUGUCGACAUCGCAUUGCCACGGCGCCUGCGGGAUGCGAGAUCUCACAGCCAUCGUGGGAAAUACCGAGUGCCGACCGCUAAAGGCUCCCCGGGCAAGAGAGUGACACAGAGGGGUGGAUGGCAGCACAUCUCAAGGUGGGAGGGAGAGUCAAGAGUAGAAGCCGAGGGGUUUUUGAUCUGAGCACUUCCUGCUGUUUUCCCAAACCGAAUGCAGAAAGUACAUGGCCAGGGCAGCCAUCCCCAAGUUUGGACCGAGCUUCAGAACCCUUACUAACACAGCCGGCCGGGCAGCCCUGACUAAUCCAUCCGGGCGCACAUCGCAAGACAAAACCUAUUCGCCCUUUCUCUUCUGAGAAGUCGCAUGAAAGGGCUUGGAGGAAUCUGGGGCUCCCAGCUCCACCGGGGACUUAAACGGAAUCUCGGGGUUUGAUCCAGUCCCUGGUAGUCCCCCCAGAAGGAAGAUUCACAAGGAAGGGGGUUCCAUGGUGUGCCAGCUGGGGCUAGAUCAGAAAUGAAACCGGGGAGGGAACAGUCAACUCUCUGUGCCCCGCCUCUUCACCGACCCAGGAGCGACAUUGCCCUGCUCGGACUGGCCAGCGCUGACCAAGACCCAGUGGGGCGACAUCCUCCCCAACAACUAUGCCUGCCACAUCACGGACUGGAGAAGGCUGCAGGGAAAGGACCACUAGGUUCAGACUAACAACAUCACUGGGCGACACAUUCUGGGUCGUAAAGCAACGACGAGCUAGGAUUUCUACAACUCCGAGAGCGGCAGCCUUUCCACCUUCCCAUUACCGGAACUCUCAGCAACCCUCUCGGCGCGGCCUCGCUGACCCCAGCCGGGACGUGAAGUCUGCGGGCGGCGCUGGAAGCGGGGCGCACCUGGAUGUCCUCGAUCAUCACGGGCGUGA